RNAcentral lists this ribosomal RNA (252 nucleotides) under uncultured bacterium. RNAcentral's name for it is "partial 16S ribosomal RNA". It matches the Rfam family "Bacterial small subunit ribosomal RNA", at positions 524 to 776 of the family's 1533-position model. The record is from RNAcentral.
UACGGAGGAUGCGAGCGUUAUCCGGAUUUAUUGGGUUUAAAGGGUGCGCAGGCGGUCUGUUAAGUCAGCGGUCAAAGCCCGGGGCUCAACCCCGGCCCGCCGUUGAAACUGGCAGUCUCGAGUUGGAGAGAAGUAUGCGGAAUGCGCGGUGUAGCGGUGAAAUGCAUAGAUAUCGCGCAGAACUCCGAUUGCGAAGGCAGCAUGCCGGCUCCACGCUGACGCUGAGGCACGAAAGCGUGGGUAUCGAACAGG